GCAUUAAUGGGGUAGAGGUAACCCGGGUCUUUAAAGUAUGAGUUUGGGAUCACCAUUUAAGACCAGCUGAGGGUUCGAAUCCCUCUUAAUGCA
Molecule: non-coding RNA, 93 nt
Organism: Mycena galopus ATCC 62051
Lineage: Eukaryota; Fungi; Basidiomycota; Agaricomycetes; Agaricales; Mycenaceae
Source: the annotation of a GenBank genome assembly